Non-coding RNA from Podarcis lilfordi (Lilford's wall lizard), 72 nucleotides. The record is from the annotation of a GenBank genome assembly. Lineage: Eukaryota; Metazoa; Chordata; Lepidosauria; Squamata; Lacertidae.
GGCUGUAUAGCUCAUUGACACUGCAUCUGCUUUGCAUGCAGAAGGUCCCAGGUUCAAUUCCCAGUAGGGCUG